GUGGUUCCAGGUGGCGAAUGUGAAUGAACAUCUGUUAAUUUAGAAGUUAUCUAUUUUAAGGUGACUUGAAACACACUGUUUAUUUGCUUAUUGCAUGAUGUGGAGUUUGCUUUAAAAUUAAUUUGUAUAUUCUUCGUUGUGGGUCCUUCUAGUUGUGGCAUGUGGGACGCUGCCUCAGUGUGGUUUGAUGAGCAGUGCCAUGUCCGCGCCCAGGAUUGGAAACACUGGGCCGCCUGUGGCGGAGCGCGCAAACUUAACCGCUUGGCCGUGGCGCCAGCCCCGAUGCUUUCUUUUCUCUCUUGCCUGUUUUGCUCAGCAUCAUUUCUGGAGUUUGUCCACGUGGAGCUGGAAUCUGUCCCCUGUGUGGCUAUACAGUGUUCCAUCGUAGGGCUAGCCCAAGCUGGUCCACCCAUUUGGCUGUUGACGGGCAUUUGGGUUGUUUCCCA
This 446-nucleotide long non-coding RNA is filed under the name Equus asinus (donkey). RNAcentral's name for it is "lncRNA (ENSEASG00005027680.1)". Lineage: Eukaryota; Metazoa; Chordata; Mammalia; Perissodactyla; Equidae. The record is from RNAcentral.